RNAcentral lists this ribosomal RNA (435 nucleotides) under uncultured bacterium. Its description in RNAcentral is "partial 16S ribosomal RNA". It matches the Rfam family "Bacterial small subunit ribosomal RNA", at positions 29 to 507 of the family's 1533-position model. The record is from RNAcentral.
AGCGAACGCUGGCGGCAGGCUUAACACAUGCAAGUCGAACGGGCAUCCUCGGAUGUCAUUGGCUGACGGGUGGGUAACACGUGGGAACGUACCCUUCGGUUCGGAAUAACUCUUUGGAACUUGAUCUAAUACCUGAUACGCCCUUCUGGGGGAAGGUUUACUGCCGUAGGAUCGGCGCGCGUCUGAUUAGCUUGUGGGUUGGGUAACCGCCUACCAAGGAGAGGAUUAGGAGCUGGUCUGAGAGGAUGAUCAACGACACUGGGACUGAGACACGGACCCGAAUCGUACGGGAGGCAGGAGAGGGGAAUAUUGGAGAAUGGGGGCAAGGCUGAUCCAGCCAUGCCGGGUAAGAGAUGAAGGCGGUAGGGUUGUAAAGCUGUUUUGGCCGGGGCGAUAAUGACGGUACCGGAAGAAUAAGCCCCGGCUAACUUCGUG